This 502-nucleotide ribosomal RNA is filed under the name uncultured bacterium. RNAcentral's name for it is "partial 16S ribosomal RNA". It matches the Rfam family "Bacterial small subunit ribosomal RNA", at positions 30 to 523 of the family's 1533-position model. The record is from RNAcentral.
AUUGAACGCUGGCGGCAGGCUUAACACAUGCAAGUCGAGCGGGGUGAUGGUGCUUGCACUAUCACUUAGCGGCGGACGGGUGAGUAAUGCUUAGGAAUCUGCCUAUUAGUGGGGGACAACAUCUCGAAAGGGAUGCUAAUACCGCAUACGUCCUACGGGAGAAAGCAGGGGAUCACUUGUGACCUUGCGCUAAUAGAUGAGCCUAAGUCGGAUUAGCUAGUUGGUGGGGUAAAGGCCUACCAAGGCGACGAUCUGUAGCGGGUCUGAGAGGAUGAUCCGCCACACUGGGACUGAGACACGGCCCAGACUCCUACGGGAGGCAGCAGUGGGGAAUAUUGGACAAUGGGGGGAACCCCGAUCCAGCCAUGCCGCGUGUGUGAAGAAGGCCUUCGGGUUGUAAAGCACUUUAAGUUGGGAGGAAAGGGUUGUGGCUAAUAUCCAUAAUCUAUGACGUUACCAACAGAAUAAGCACCGGCUAACUCCGUGCCAGCAGCCGCAGUAA